UAGCCAUGCUAGUCGCACGAGUUCAGACUCGUGGCGAAUAGCUCAGUAACACGUGGCCAAACUACCCUUCGGAACACAAUACCCUCGGGAAACUGAGGCUAAUAGUGUAUACCAUACCACCACUGGAAUGAGUGGUAUGCCAAACGCUCCGGCGCCGAAGGAUGUGGCUGCGGCCGAUUAGGUAGACGGUGGGGUAACGGCCCACCGUGCCAAUAAUCGGUAUGGGUCAUGAGAGUGAGAACCCAGAGACGGAAUCUGAGACAAGAUUCCGGGCCCUACGGGGCGCAGCAGGCGCGAAACCUUUACACUGCACGACAGUGCGAUAGGGGGAUCCCAAGUGCACAGGCAUAGCGCCUGUGCUUUUCGGUACCCUAAGGCGGUACCAGAAUAAGGGCUGGGCAAGACCGGUGCCAGCCGCCGCGGUAAUACCGGCAGCCCAAGUGAUGGCCGAUCUUAUUGGGCCUAAAGCGUCCGUAGCUGGCCGCGCAAGUCCAUCGGGAAAUCCACCUGCUCAACAGGUGGGCGCCCGGUAGAAACUGCGUGGCUUGGGACCGGAAGGCGCGACGGGUACGUCCGGGGUAGGAGUGAAAUCCCGUAAUCCUGGACGGACCGCCGAUGGCGAAAGCACGUCGCGAGAACGGAUCCGACAGUGAGGGACGAAAGCCAGGGUCUCGAACCGGAUUAGAUACCCGGGUAGUCCUGGCCGUAAACAAUGUCUGCUAGGUGUGGCUCCCACUACGAGUGGGUGCUGUGCCGUAGGGAAGCCGCUAAGCAGACCGCCUGGGAAGUACGUCCGCAAGGAUGAAACUUAAAGGAAUUG
RNAcentral lists this ribosomal RNA (820 nucleotides) under Halorubrum sp. W14-1. RNAcentral's name for it is "bacterial SSU rRNA". It matches the Rfam family "Archaeal small subunit ribosomal RNA", at positions 46 to 867 of the family's 1478-position model. Lineage: Archaea; Methanobacteriati; Methanobacteriota; Halobacteria; Halobacteriales; Haloferacaceae. The record is from RNAcentral.